This 510-nucleotide long non-coding RNA is filed under the name Physcomitrium patens. RNAcentral describes it as "long non-coding RNA (PPAT_LNC002560)". The record is from RNAcentral. Lineage: Eukaryota; Viridiplantae; Streptophyta; Bryopsida; Funariales; Funariaceae.
UUAAGGCACCAAUAUAAAUGAAUGGAGAUGAAUGAUAAAAAUCUCCAUUCCUAUUGGUCAAAAAUCAUGACUAAUAGGCUUUGAGGAGGCUCCCCGAGGCCAUAUUAGAGAUUAGGGUUAGUAUUUUGGAUUCAUUCGAGCUUUGAAGGCUAGGGCCAGCAAGUUUAGGUUUUUGGCUAUAGUUUUGGUACAAGUUUUGUAUGAUUUGGAAUUUAUAUGAAGGAGAUAUAAGUGCUCUAAAGUUCAGGAUAAGAAAAUCUUUCGCGAAAAAAAUAUGUUUUGAAGGGAUUUUGUUAUAUUUUGAGUUUUAUGCAAAAUAAAAGAGUUUUGGGAGGCUAAGACAAGAUUCAUAUAAAGGUUUAAGCUAAACUCUCUAUAGCUAGAUACUCAGUAUAUUUCUAGAUAAUAAAUCACGCCAUAUGACACUGUAGUAAUGAUAAAUAUUGUCAAUAAAGAGUCUUCCCAUUUCUUCAUCAGUAUUUGACUUCUUGCAAAGUAUAUAAUGUGCUA